Non-coding RNA from Oryza punctata, 205 nucleotides. The record is from Rfam. NCBI's taxonomy places the organism in Eukaryota, Viridiplantae, Streptophyta, Magnoliopsida, Poales, Poaceae.
GUGCAGUUUAAUUUGCAUGGUUCAUGUUCAACGUUUAACCGUUUGUUUUAUUUAAAAAAUUUUUAUGAUUAGUAUUUUUAUUGUUAUUAGAUAAUAAAACAUGAAUUAUACUUUGUGUGAUUAUUUUUUUUUAAAUUUUUCAUAAACUUAUCAAAUAAGACGGACGAUCAAACAUUAGACACGAAAAUCCACUGCUGUACUUAAA